Molecule: ribosomal RNA, 468 nt
Filed under: uncultured bacterium
Lineage: Bacteria
Description: bacterial SSU rRNA
Rfam family: Bacterial small subunit ribosomal RNA
Source: RNAcentral
GACGAACGCUGGCGGCGUGCUUAACACAUGCAAGUCACGGGGGCCCGCAAGGGCAACCGGCGAACGGGUGCGUAACACGUGAGCAAUCUGCCGAUUACUGGGGGAUAGCCGGCCCAACGGCCGGGUAAUACCGCAUACGCUUUUUGGGGGACAUCCCCUGAAAAGGAAACCUCCGGGGGUAAUCGAGGAGCUCGCGACCUAUCAGCUUGUUGGCGGGGUAACGGCCCACCAAGGCUACGACGGGUAGCUGGUCUGAGAGGAUGGCCAGCCACAUUGGGACUGCGACACGGCCCAGACUCCUACGGGAGGCAGCAGUGGGGAAUAUUGCGCAAUGGACGAAAGUCUGACGCAGCGACGCCGCGUGUGGGAUGAAGCUCUUCGGGGUGUAAACCACUGUUGCCCGGGACGAACUUCUGGUUUCGACCAGAUUGACGGUACCGGGUGAGGAAGCACCGGCUAACUCUGUGC